This 2892-nucleotide ribosomal RNA is filed under the name Escherichia coli. RNAcentral describes it as "bacterial LSU rRNA". It matches the Rfam family "Bacterial large subunit ribosomal RNA". Lineage: Bacteria; Pseudomonadati; Pseudomonadota; Gammaproteobacteria; Enterobacterales; Enterobacteriaceae. The record is from RNAcentral.
ACUAAGCGUACACGGUGGAUGCCCUGGCAGUCAGAGGCGAUGAAGGACGUGCUAAUCUGCGAUAAGCGUCGGUAAGGUGAUAUGAACCGUUAUAACCGGCGAUUUCCGAAUGGGGAAACCCAGUGUGUUUCGACACACUAUCAUUAACUGAAUCCAUAGGUUAAUGAGGCGAACCGGGGGAACUGAAACAUCUAAGUACCCCGAGGAAAAGAAAUCAACCGAGAUUCCCCCAGUAGCGGCGAGCGAACGGGGAGCAGCCCAGAGCCUGAAUCAGUGUGUGUGUUAGUGGAAGCGUCUGGAAAGGCGCGCGAUACAGGGUGACAGCCCCGUACACAAAAAUGCACAUACUGUGAGCUCGAUGAGUAGGGCGGGACACGUGGUAUCCUGUCUGAAUAUGGGGGGACCAUCCUCCAAGGCUAAAUACUCCUGACUGACCGAUAGUGAACCAGUACCGUGAGGGAAAGGCGAAAAGAACCCCGGCGAGGGGAGUGAAAAAGAACCUGAAACCGUGUACGUACAAGCAGUGGGAGCCUCUUUUAUGGGGUGACUGCGUACCUUUUGUAUAAUGGGUCAGCGACUUAUAUUCUGUAGCAAGGUUAACCGAAUAGGGGAGCCGAAGGGAAACCGAGUCUUAACCGGGCGUUAAGUUGCAGGGUAUAGACCCGAAACCCGGUGAUCUAGCCAUGGGCAGGUUGAAGGUUGGGUAACACUAACUGGAGGACCGAACCGACUAAUGUUGAAAAAUUAGCGGAUGACUUGUGGCUGGGGGUGAAAGGCCAAUCAAACCGGGAGAUAGCUGGUUCUCCCCGAAAGCUAUUUAGGUAGCGCCUCGUGAAUUCAUCUCCGGGGGUAGAGCACUGUUUCGGCAAGGGGGUCAUCCCGACUUACCAACCCGAUGCAAACUGCGAAUACCGGAGAAUGUUAUCACGGGAGACACACGGCGGGUGCUAACGUCCGUCGUGAAGAGGGAAACAACCCAGACCGCCAGCUAAGGUCCCAAAGUCAUGGUUAAGUGGGAAACGAUGUGGGAAGGCCCAGACAGCCAGGAUGUUGGCUUAGAAGCAGCCAUCAUUUAAAGAAAGCGUAAUAGCUCACUGGUCGAGUCGGCCUGCGCGGAAGAUGUAACGGGGCUAAACCAUGCACCGAAGCUGCGGCAGCGACACUGUGUGUUGUUGGGUAGGGGAGCGUUCUGUAAGCCUGUGAAGGUGUGCUGUGAGGCAUGCUGGAGGUAUCAGAAGUGCGAAUGCUGACAUAAGUAACGAUAAAGCGGGUGAAAAGCCCGCUCGCCGGAAGACCAAGGGUUCCUGUCCAACGUUAAUCGGGGCAGGGUGAGUCGACCCCUAAGGCGAGGCCGAAAGGCGUAGUCGAUGGGAAACAGGUUAAUAUUCCUGUACUUGGUGUUACUGCGAAGGGGGGACGGAGAAGGCUAUGUUGGCCGGGCGACGGUUGUCCCGGUUUAAGCGUGUAGGCUGGUUUUCCAGGCAAAUCCGGAAAAUCAAGGCUGAGGCGUGAUGACGAGGCACUACGGUGCUGAAGCAACAAAUGCCCUGCUUCCAGGAAAAGCCUCUAAGCAUCAGGUAACAUCAAAUCGUACCCCAAACCGACACAGGUGGUCAGGUAGAGAAUACCAAGGCGUUUGAGAGAACUCGGGUGAAGGAACUAGGCAAAAUGGUGCCGUAACUUCGGGAGAAGGCACGCUGAUAUGUAGGUGAAGUCCCUCGCGGAUGGAGCUGAAAUCAGUCGAAGAUACCAGCUGGCUGCAACUGUUUAUUAAAAACACAGCACUGUGCAAACACGAAAGUGGACGUAUACGGUGUGACGCCUGCCCGGUGCCGGAAGGUUAAUUGAUGGGGUCAGCGCAAGCGAAGCUCUUGAUCGAAGCCCCGGUAAACGGCGGCCGUAACUAUAACGGUCCUAAGGUAGCGAAAUUCCUUGUCGGGUAAGUUCCGACCUGCACGAAUGGCGUAAUGAUGGCCAGGCUGUCUCCACCCGAGACUCAGUGAAAUUGAACUCGCUGUGAAGAUGCAGUGUACCCGCGGCAAGACGGAAAGACCCCGUGAACCUUUACUAUAGCUUGACACUGAACAUUGAGCCUUGAUGUGUAGGAUAGGUGGGAGGCUUUGAAGUGUGGACGCCAGUCUGCAUGGAGCCGACCUUGAAAUACCACCCUUUAAUGUUUGAUGUUCUAACGUGGACCCGUGAUCCGGGUUGCGGACAGUGUCUGGUGGGUAGUUUGACUGGGGCGGUCUCCUCCUAAAGAGUAACGGAGGAGCACGAAGGUUGGCUAAUCCUGGUCGGACAUCAGGAGGUUAGUGCAAUGGCAUAAGCCAGCUUGACUGCGAGCGUGACGGCGCGAGCAGGUGCGAAAGCAGGUCAUAGUGAUCCGGUGGUUCUGAAUGGAAGGGCCAUCGCUCAACGGAUAAAAGGUACUCCGGGGAUAACAGGCUGAUACCGCCCAAGAGUUCAUAUCGACGGCGGUGUUUGGCACCUCGAUGUCGGCUCAUCACAUCCUGGGGCUGAAGUAGGUCCCAAGGGUAUGGCUGUUCGCCAUUUAAAGUGGUACGCGAGCUGGGUUUAGAACGUCGUGAGACAGUUCGGUCCCUAUCUGCCGUGGGCGCUGGAGAACUGAGGGGGGCUGCUCCUAGUACGAGAGGACCGGAGUGGACGCAUCACUGGUGUUCGGGUUGUCAUGCCAAUGGCACUGCCCGGUAGCUAAAUGCGGAAGAGAUAAGUGCUGAAAGCAUCUAAGCACGAAACUUGCCCCGAGAUGAGUUCUCCCUGACCCUUUAAGGGUCCUGAAGGAACGUUGAAGACGACGACGUUGAUAGGCCGGGUGUGUAAGCGCAGCGAUGCGUUGAGCUAACCGGUACUAAUGAACCGUGAGGCUUAACC